This 81-nucleotide small nucleolar RNA is filed under the name Corchorus capsularis. RNAcentral's name for it is "snoRNA SNORD34". It matches the Rfam family "Small nucleolar RNA SNORD34". Rfam says of the family: snoRNA U34 is found in intron 5 of the ribosomal protein L13a gene in humans. U34 is a member of the C/D class of snoRNA which contain C (UGAUGA) and D (CUGA) box motifs, and functions in directing site-specific 2'-O-methylation of 25S rRNAs. The record is from Rfam by way of RNAcentral. Lineage: Eukaryota; Viridiplantae; Streptophyta; Magnoliopsida; Malvales; Malvaceae.
GAAGGCCUAUGAUGAUUGAAAAUUGCCUACAUUGUCAGAUCUUCAUUCUGACGACAAUAAAAUUAACAAUCUGAGGCCUAG